CCAGCUCCAAUAGCGUAUAUUUAAGUUGUUGCAGUUAAAAAGCUCGUAGUUGGAUUUCGGGUGGGUUGGCUAGGUCCGCCUCUGGUGUGCACUUGGUCGAUCCACCUUCCUGCCGGGGACGGGCUCCUGGGCUUCACUGUCUGGGACUCGGAGUCGGCGAUGUUACUUUGAGUAAAUUAGAGUGUUCAAAGCAAGCCUACGCUCUGAAUACGUUAGCAUGGAAUAACGCGAUAGGACUCUGGCCUAUCCGUUGGUCUGUGGGACCGGAGUAAUGAUUAAGAGGGACAGUCGGGGGCAUUCGUAUUCCGUUGUCAGAGGUGAAAUUCUUGGAUUUACGGAAGACGAACUACUGCGAAAGCAUUUGCCAAGGAUGUUUUCA
Molecule: ribosomal RNA, 379 nt
Filed under: uncultured Neochlorosarcina
Lineage: Eukaryota; Viridiplantae; Chlorophyta; Chlorophyceae; Chlorosarcinales
Description: SSU rRNA
Rfam family: Eukaryotic small subunit ribosomal RNA
Source: RNAcentral